This 1394-nucleotide long non-coding RNA is filed under the name Strigops habroptila (Kakapo). RNAcentral describes it as "lncRNA (ENSSHBG00005002098.1)". The record is from RNAcentral. Lineage: Eukaryota; Metazoa; Chordata; Aves; Psittaciformes; Psittacidae.
UUUUUUGGUGUUUUGUUUUCUUUUCAGAACAUUGUCAGUUAGGGGGUUUUGCAAUUUUGCAUCUACAAUCUUGCCAUUUUCCUAAUUAAGAAGCACUUGAAAACCAGGUAUUAAUCAUUUACGUAAACAGGUUUGUGUGCCAUUUCCAUCUGUAAAACAUGAGUUCAAAUUUUUAGGACACAGAUGGCAUAUGAGAAAAAACUAAAAGCCAACUAGACAGAAACAUAAAAAAUCUGGCUGUCUACCACCACACACACACACAAAUAAAAUAAAGAACUGAGGAAAUAGGCUCCUAGGAGUCAAUUUGUUCCUAAUAUUUCAUUAGCUUUUAGUGCCUAAAAGUCUUGAACACUGAAGAUGAUUCAGAAUAGGAUAGCCAGCCUUCUCAGAAUAUGUCUGGGGAAAUGCCUAGUGCUAGAAAAGGAGUGAUGCUUUAGAUCUUGGGAAAUCUGACUGGCUGACUGUGAAUAAUGUUGUAUGAAUGGCUCAAGCACUGUGUCAUUGACUUUAGUUCCUCUGGAAUAUAGUAAAAUUCCACUGGGGAAGAGCUUGCUUGCUUUUUAAAAGGGAGAGGAAUCUGUUCCGAAGGAAAAGGUUAAAAGGCUUCAGAACUGGAGUGUGACGAAAGGAAAACAAGAUGAGAAAGAGAGAAAACCAAGAAGAAAAUGUCUUCCGUUGUAUUUCUCUCUAAAUCAAAUAAAUUUCUAGCUGCCCUAAGUUAAACAAUUGGUAGAUGACAUUUCAUGCAGAUGAAUUGACAUUUUCCCAAUUAUAGUUGUAUAUAAAAUAUCCAACACACAGUCAGUAUUUUAACUAGUAUUUUUUUUUUAGCAAACUGCUCUGAGCUCAGCCACAAAGAUGUCAUAGAGAGAAGUCUGUGCUUUCUGAGUAACUAUGAAUUAGAGAGGCAGAUGUAUAACCUGGGAAGACUUCCAGAUUCAUCUUUCUUAAAAAUGGAUUUGUUCAGCAUUGGCUACACUGAUCAGGAUUAUUCUUUGUGCCACAAGACAUCAUCAGCAUGAUGAUAGUUCAGAAAUAAGCCCAGGCUCACUAACAGAUCGUGUGUGUGUUUGAUCCUGGCCUCAGCCAUAGGAACUGGUAAGUCUUAAGAGAAGGAGUGGCUGAUCUGGUGCCUUCAUGUUAUUUCUGUCUUGAUAUUGAGUGGCCGAAUACUCAGCUAGCAUAAAUUGGUGCAGCUCCAUUCAAUUUAAUGCUUAGCUAAUGAGCUACAUGGAAAAAAACCAAAAAAACCCCAAAACCAAAAAACAAACAAAAAAACCCAAAUCCCCCCCCCCCAAAAAAAAACCAAACCAAAAACCUCACAAAAAAACCCCCAAAAAACCAAACAAAGCAAAACAAACAAACAAACAAACAAAAAAACCACACCAAAAAAA